UCACUCCUUAUUUGCUUCCCUUAUCAUUUCUCUCAUGUUCAAAUUCCUUUUUCGUCUUUUCUAUUUUUCUAAUAUACUUUCUCCUUUUCUCAUGAAAGAAAGAAACAACAACAUUUCUCUAUAAAACCGAUACCAACCCACAUUUUUUAACAUGUUGUGUCUCUGAUCUUAUUUGGAUCUCUCACCAGAUCAGAAAUACAGAAUGUCUCACACAUAAUAGAGAUAUGUUAAUGUGUCAUGUGAUCAUAAACCUCCAUCCAUCAAACCACUAUCAACUCACAUUUUUUACCAUGUUGUGCCUACGGUUGAACUUAUUUGGCUAUGUCACCAGACCUCAUACGCAAGAGUCUCACACUUAUGGGAGAGAUGAUAAAGUGCCAAUUGUGACUCAAAGUUCCAAAUUGGAUGCAAGUAGAUCUUGAAAAACAUAUAAGUGAGAUGAUCAAUAUACAUAAUGCUUUAAGGUUUUGGGUGAUGAUAUGGUGUCAAUCUCAGUUGUUUGCUUUGUGAUGACCUAACUCAUUGCAGGCUCCCUUGAAACUCUAAACAUUUUGAUAAAUUAUUUUGUUAGUUUUUUCAACGUUGUUUGUAAACUUUUAUAUUAAGUUGAAGUUUUUUGAUGUUUUUCGCUUUCAUGCAAUAUUUUAUAAUCAAUCUCCAUUAUUUCAACUUCCUUCAA
This is a long non-coding RNA of Medicago truncatula (barrel medic), 679 nucleotides long. RefSeq lists it as uncharacterized. Lineage: Eukaryota; Viridiplantae; Streptophyta; Magnoliopsida; Fabales; Fabaceae. The transcript is spliced from 2 exons. The record is from RefSeq and is a predicted model, not a curated record.